GAUGAACGCUGGCGGCGUGCCUAACACAUGCAAGUCGAACGGGAAGCUGACUUCGGUCAGUGGAGAGUGGCGCACGGGUGAGUAACGCGUAGUUGAUCUGCCUUUAAGUGGGGGAUAACAUCCAGAAAUGGUUGCUAAUACCGCAUAAGCUCACGGUUUCUAGAAAGCUGUGAGAAAAGAUUUAUCGCUUAAAGAUGAGACUGCGUAUCAUCAGUUAGUUGGUGAGGUAAUGGCUUACCAAGACAACGACGAUUAGGGGACCUGAGAGGGUGGCCCCCCACACUGGAACUGAGACACGGUCCAGACUCCUACGGGAGGCAGCAGUGAGGAAUAUUGCACAAUGGGCGCAAGCCUGAUGCAGCGACGCCGCGUGGGUGAAGAAGGAUUUCGGUCUGUAAAGCCCUUUUCUAUGUGACGAGAAUGGACGGUAGCAUAGGAAUAAGUCUCGGCUAACUACG
This 458-nucleotide ribosomal RNA is filed under the name uncultured Anaerolineae bacterium. RNAcentral describes it as "bacterial SSU rRNA". It matches the Rfam family "Bacterial small subunit ribosomal RNA", at positions 28 to 505 of the family's 1533-position model. Lineage: Bacteria; Bacillati; Chloroflexota; Anaerolineae. The record is from RNAcentral.